This is an RNA transcript of Physcomitrium patens, 1901 nucleotides long. It is a transcript of the gene named 2-oxoglutarate and iron-dependent oxygenase domain-containing protein CP2, with no coding region annotated. NCBI's taxonomy places the organism in Eukaryota, Viridiplantae, Streptophyta, Bryopsida, Funariales, Funariaceae. The record is from RefSeq and is a predicted model, not a curated record.
CUUCUUCUCCACCGUUGUCGUUGUUGCUGUUCAAUUUUGGCGCCGGAGCGGGUCCGUGGGAGGAGUUCACAUGCCCCUGCUGCUGCUCCCGGUGGUCUCUCUUCUACGCUUCCUCGUAUCGCUCCCGAUGUGUUGGAAUUGAGCGCUUAGCAGUUUGCAAAAUGUGGGAGUGCGGUAGUUUUGCUUAAGGAAAUUUCGCGUAUGCCGAAUAAAAUUUCGAGGGAGUUGUGUGGGGUUAGAGAAUGGCUGCAUUGCAAUGGAGCGGGUGUUGUAGCUGCUAGUGCUUGUAUUAGGCAGGGGGGCGCGUGAAUUUUCGAUUGGAUCAGAGGUUCGAGAUUCGGAGUUUUCUCAGGUUUCAUAUGCGGUGGAUUUAAGAGGUUUCGAGGAUGAAAGAACCAGCUCCGGCGACAGGGGACGUAGUGUUGAGCAGUAGGAAGAGGUUGAAGCCUCCGAGUAACAACAAUGGCCAGCCUUCGAGGCGACCCCGGGAGGAAGAAUUAGGGAGAGAUGGCUUAGUGUCCAUACCGCGGCUCUUGAGGACUCCUAACGUGAACCACAAGUCGGAAAACUAUGAGGAUUUGGAGGACUUGGAGUAUCCGGCCGCAUUGUACAGUACCAUGGAGCAGCAUUUGCCGUCCAGCUUCUUGAACGCCCCGCGUGAAAAGAAGUUGGCAUUGCUUGAUAGGAUACUGUCAAAGUAUCGCCCCAAUGGAGAGCGCGCAAAGAAGCAUCGGGAGUACAGGGAAAGGAUAAAGCAUAAUUAUCAGCCGUUGCAUGAUGAGCUCUAUACUCUCGAUCCUGAGCGAUUUUUUGUGAAGUCCUUCUUGGAUGCGGUGAAGGAUGGCUCUGAGGUUGCUCUUCGUCGCAUUCUGACCGAACACUCUUCAGGGGUUUUUACUUUCAGCAUGUUGAAACCUUCUUUCUGUUCAAAAAUGUUGGAGGAGGUAGAGCACUUCGAGAGAUGGGCACAGGAAGCAAGAGUAAAGGUGAUGCGUCCAAACACCAUGAACAACUAUGGAGCAGUCCUUGAUGAUAUUGGAAUGGAGGUCAUGUUGAACCACUUAAUGCUUCGCUAUCUCAAACCCAUGGCUGCGGUGUUGUUCCUCAACGUUGGUGGAUCGUCUUUAGACACUCACCAUGGUUUUGUUGUGGAGUAUGCAAUGGAUCGUGAUCUUGAUCUUGGUUUUCAUGUUGAUGACUCUGAAGUGACACUGAACGUCUGCCUUGGCAAGAAGUUUGAUGGAGGCGAGCUUUUCUUCCGUGGUGUUCGAUGCGACAAGCAUGUCAACGGCGAAGCUCGUUCCGAGGAAGUAUUGGAAUAUUCUCAUGUACCUGGUGAUGCUAUUCUGCAUGCUGGUCGUCAUCGACAUGGUGCAAAGGCCAUUACCUCGGGUCAGCGGACAAACCUGAUUCUAUGGUGUCGCAGCUCGGAAUUUCGGGAGCUUAAGAAGUACCAGCGUGAUUUCUCCAGUUGGUGUGGAGAGUGUUUGCUGCGGAAGAAAGAAGGAAAGAAAGAAAGAGGUCGUCGGCUCUCUAGUGCUAAGCGGCAAUUGUCGUCUUGAUGUCUCCAUCAGAUUCACUUGGUACAGAAAGCUCAUGUCAUAGUUCCUGUAAACUACGUUGGAUACAAAAAACAACAAAUUCUUUAGAGGAAAUUUUAUACCUGGGCUUGGAAGAUGUGGAUGCUGGAAAAGCGAAAUUUUGGCAUACGCUAUUAUCAAAAAAUUAGCUGCUAUGACGCUUGAAAUCAUCUCCAUACACACCCUACCAAUAGAUAGGAGGUCCUGGUUCAAAUAUUUAUGUAAAGGAUUCAGAUGAAGAUGAGACCAAGUUAUAAAAUCCUCAAGCACAUUUGUUAUGUGGUCGUUUCACAAAAAUGUUAAACGCUCAGCAUGACCUUA